RNAcentral lists this unclassified non-coding RNA (487 nucleotides) under Hevea brasiliensis (rubber tree). The record is from RNAcentral. Lineage: Eukaryota; Viridiplantae; Streptophyta; Magnoliopsida; Malpighiales; Euphorbiaceae.
GUGGUUGGUGAGUCACUUCAUGAUGAACACAUACCAGGACAAACUAGCACCGUGAUUCCUGAAUACAAUUUGUUAUCAAUAGAUAGAAGUGUGCCAGAGAUUAAACCAGAACUCCCAGUCCUUGAACUUAGAUCAGUUACAGAUAUUGACUUGGCAUUCAAGCAACUUCAUGAAGGAGUAGAUGUUGAGGAGGUCAUCCUUCCAAGUAUGAUUGAGGAUCAACCAGUUGUUGAUAAAGGCCCUGGUGAAACCAACUCAGAAUUGCGAGUUGUUGAAGCAAGAUCUUUGGAAGAUCUACAUGUUGCCAUGAAGCAAGCAUCAGAACUGUCUGAUUUAAUGGGAAGGCCAGCGGGAGUAAAUGAAGCAGGUUCUAGCAGUUGUAUUAAGGAGCUUCCAAUUCUUGAACUUAGAAUGAUUAAUGAUAUUGACCUGACAUUCAAGCAACUUAAUGAAGGUGUAGAUGUUGAGGAGGUAAUCCUUCCCAGCA